This 1139-nucleotide long non-coding RNA is filed under the name Takifugu rubripes (torafugu). Its description in RNAcentral is "lncRNA (ENSTRUG00000030940.1)". The record is from RNAcentral. Lineage: Eukaryota; Metazoa; Chordata; Actinopteri; Tetraodontiformes; Tetraodontidae.
CAGUCAUUGUUUUGUCACUCUUGGUGGACUUUCCCUGAAUUUCCUAAUAAUCUCAGGUGUGUUCUGGGCGCAGGGACCCCUGGCAGGACGUCUCCUGGUGCGUCUGGGUCUCGGCGCGCACCUGCGACCUCUCUCAGGCCUUUUCCAACUUCGAGCUGUACAACAUGAUCCGCCUGGGCGUCCACCUCAGCCCCAGCGCCACAGUCUGGGUCCAGCCGCGCAAGUUUGACUACACCGACUUCAGUCCGUCUGCUCUUCUCUGAACUGGGGUUCUGGACUGUUGAGUAUAUGUAAACGUCGGGUCUUCCCUGCCCUCCACAGCUUUCAGCCCCCCGUCAGUCUCGGUGUCCCUCAGAGAUGAGCGCCUGCUGGUGAAGGUGCAGUUCCCCUGCGCCGUCAGCAGGAGGUGCUCGCUGGAGAGGUGCUGUCCGAUCUCUGAGCUGAUCGACCCCUGGACCACCGUGACUGUGUGCAGCACCACCGGCGACCCCGACUGCCAGGUCUGCCUGCUUUUUCACCUGUUUUUGUCCGACUUUUACAGAGAACCCGUGCAUGAAUUUUUCAUUCAUGUCCGCCAGAAAUAAGCACAUUCAUUAGAAAUUGGGAUUUAAAUCCAACUGUCAGUGAUUUAAAAGAUUUUAUGUCCUUUUUAUUUUGAAAACCCUCGUUAUUGUGUGUCGCCGCAGAGCCGAACUGUUUGGACGCAGGAAGUGGUGACUUAUGUGGACUUCGCCGGCUUGGCUCCAGGGCGGACUUACUGCGCCGUGGCCAACUUCUCCUACCCGACCUUCUCCAUGGCCGCUUCUGCAAAGUCCUCCCCCCAGUGUGUAGAAACCCGCUCCAGAUCUGGACUGAUGCCAGUGCUGGGUCUGGGAAUCGGGUUGACCUCUCUGCUCCUCGUGCCUGUUGUCUCCGUGUUACUUUUACGACGGCACCGAGCCGCACCGACCACUGGAAACCCCAAACCUGCGGCACCUGAUCACGAUCCGGUCUCUCUGGUCUCUCUGUCCCUGGUUCCCGUUGAGCUCUGCGACAUCCGUGUGGAAUUUGACGACCAGAUCUCCACAGGGUCCUCCUCCAGUUCCCAGUCUGACCAGGACCAGGAUCUGGAACAUGUUCUGGUCCCCGCUCCACUGUGA